This 21-nucleotide unclassified non-coding RNA is filed under the name Mus musculus (house mouse). RNAcentral's name for it is "oocyte_clustered_small_RNA1514". Lineage: Eukaryota; Metazoa; Chordata; Mammalia; Rodentia; Muridae. The record is from RNAcentral.
GCUAGAUUCCACCUGCUUUGG